This 395-nucleotide transfer-messenger RNA is filed under the name Schleiferiaceae. RNAcentral describes it as "TMED14 sp002381225 Standard tmRNA". It matches the Rfam family "transfer-messenger RNA". From Rfam's summary of the family: Bacterial tmRNA, also known as 10Sa RNA or SsrA, is named for its dual tRNA and mRNA-like properties. Its role is to liberate the mRNA from a stalled ribosome. Lineage: Bacteria; Pseudomonadati; Bacteroidota; Flavobacteriia; Flavobacteriales. The record is from RNAcentral. RNAcentral also lists the same sequence under 1 other name.
GGGGCUGACCGGUAUUGACAGCAAGAUGAAGGGGUUUGUAAGCAUGCCGAGCUAUCCGAUUGAUGCUCGUUAAUUCAAUGUCGGAAUCCAUAAUUGGCGAGUACAACUACGCUCUUGCCGCUUAAUCAUCCGAUAGGAGACUAAGCUAAUUCCGCACUAGGUGCGGAAGCGGGACAUCCCUCAGAAUCCCUGUCCUACGGAGUCUGAUCUAGGGGUGCUGGAAAGGUGGGAAUAGAAGGCCCUGCGCUGCGGGGGGCCUUUGAAAAUUUAGCAGAUAGGCCGAAGGUGGAGUGUUUGUCCUCAUCCUUUGGAUGAAAAUCAAGGAUAAACUAAGCAUGUAGAAAGCAUAUCAUUUCCUUGUCUGGACGCGGGUUCGAUUCCCGCCAGCUCCACAU